Molecule: non-coding RNA, 253 nt
Filed under: uncultured bacterium
Lineage: Bacteria
Also listed under: 1 other name
Description: partial 16S ribosomal RNA
Rfam family: Bacterial small subunit ribosomal RNA
Source: RNAcentral
UACAGAGGGUGCAAGCGUUAAUCGGAAUUACUGGGCGUAAAGCGUGCGUAGACGGUUAUUUAAGUCGGGUGUGAAAUCCCCGGGCUCAACCUGGGAAUUGCAUUCGAGACUGAAUAGCUAGGGUUCGGAAGAGGGAAGCGGAAUUUCCGGUGUAGCGGUGAAAUGCGUAGAUAUCGGAAGGAACAUCAGUGGCGAAAGCGGCUUCCUGGUCCAGAACCGACGUUCAGGCACGAAAGCGUGGGGAGCAAACAGG